ACCACCGCGUCGGUCCCCCUUUGGCUCGUUCCGAGGGGGGGCUUGCGUUUUCACACAAACUCAAAAGCAGUGUAGAAUGUCUUUUUUUGCGAUGACACGCAAUCAAUACAACUUUCAACAACGGAUCUCUUGGCUCUCGCAUCGAUGAAGAACGCAGCGAAAUGCGAUACGUAAUGUGAAUUGCAGAAUUCAGUGAAUCAUCGAAUCUUUGAACGCACCUUGCGCCCCUUGGCAUUCCGAGGGGCACACCCGUUUGAGUGUCNUGAAAUUCUCANAAGCCCUUCCUUUGGUGGAGAGGAUUUUGGACUUGGAGGUCUUUUGCUGGCUUCACCUUGAAGUGAGCUCCUCCCAAAUGGAUUANUGGGUCUGCUUUGCUGAUCCUUGACGUGAUAAGAUGUUUCUACGUCUUGGGGUUUC
This 417-nucleotide ribosomal RNA is filed under the name uncultured Russula. Its description in RNAcentral is "eukaryotic LSU rRNA". The stretch from base 110 to 263 matches the Rfam family "5.8S ribosomal RNA". The record is from RNAcentral. Lineage: Eukaryota; Fungi; Basidiomycota; Agaricomycetes; Russulales; Russulaceae.